RNAcentral lists this ribosomal RNA (253 nucleotides) under uncultured bacterium. Its description in RNAcentral is "partial 16S ribosomal RNA". It matches the Rfam family "Bacterial small subunit ribosomal RNA", at positions 524 to 776 of the family's 1533-position model. The record is from RNAcentral.
GACGUAGGGCGCAAGCGUUGUCCGGAUUUAUUGGGCGUAAAGAGCUCGUAGGCGGCUUGUUGCGUCGUCCGUGAAAACCCGUGGCUCAACUGCGGGCUUGCGGACGAUACGGGCAGGCUGGAGUUCGGUAGGGGAGACUGGAAUUCCUGGUGUAGCGGUGAAAUGCGCAGAUAUCAGGAGGGACACCGGUGGCGAAGGCGGGUCUCUGGGCCGAUACUGACGCUGAGGAGCGAAAGCGUGGGGAGCGAACAGG